Molecule: microRNA, 21 nt
Filed under: Macrophomina phaseolina MS6
Lineage: Eukaryota; Fungi; Ascomycota; Dothideomycetes; Botryosphaeriales; Botryosphaeriaceae
Description: miR414
Source: RNAcentral
UCAUCCUCAUCGUCUUCGUCC